GGGACACGUGGUAUCCUGUCUGAAUAUGGGGGGACCAUCCUCCAAGGCUAAAUACUCCUGACUGACCGAUAGUGAACCAGUACCGUGAGGGAAAGGCGAAAAGAACCCCGGCGAGGGGAGUGAAAAAGAACCUGAAACCGUGUACGUACAAGCAGUGGGAGCACGCUUAGGCGUGUGACUGCGUACCUUUUGUAUAAUGGGUCAGCGACUUAUAUUCUGUAGCAAGGUUAACCGAAUAGGGGAGCCGAAGGGAAACCGAGUCUUAACUGGGCGUUAAGUUGCAGGGUAUAGACCCGAAACCCGGUGAUCUAGCCAUGGGCAGGUUGAAGGUUGGGUAACACUAACUGGAGGACCGAACCGACUAAUGUUGAAAAAUUAGCGGAUGACUUGUGGCUGGGGGUGAAAGGCCAAUCAAACCGGGAGAUAGCUGGUUCUCCCCGAAAGCUAUUUAGGUAGCGCCUCGUGAAUUCAUCUCCGGGGGUAGAGCACUGUUUCGGCAAGGGGGUCAUCCCGACUUACCAACCCGAUGCAAACUGCGAAUACCGGAGAAUGUUAUCACGGGAGACACACGGCGGGUGCUAACGUCCGUCGUGAAGAGGGAAACAACCCAGACCGCCAGCUAAGGUCCCAAAGUCAUGGUUAAGUGGGAAACGAUGUGGGAAGGCCCAGACAGCCAGGAUGUUGGCUUAGAAGCAGCCAUCAUUUAAAGAAAGCGUAAUAGCUCACUGGUCGAGUCGGCCUGCGCGGAAGAUGUAACGGGGCUAAACCAUGCACCGAAGCUGCGGCAGCGACGCUGAUGCGUUGUUGGGUA
Molecule: ribosomal RNA, 811 nt
Filed under: Escherichia coli
Lineage: Bacteria; Pseudomonadati; Pseudomonadota; Gammaproteobacteria; Enterobacterales; Enterobacteriaceae
Also listed under: 1 other name
Description: bacterial LSU rRNA
Rfam family: Bacterial large subunit ribosomal RNA
Source: RNAcentral